Molecule: non-coding RNA, 320 nt
Organism: Pelobates cultripes (western spadefoot toad)
Lineage: Eukaryota; Metazoa; Chordata; Amphibia; Anura; Pelobatidae
Source: the annotation of a GenBank genome assembly
CUUAGAGGUUAUAGAAGUAUAGCUUUUUCUCAAUGGAUUUCAAUCGUAGAUUCACACUUAUCUGUUUAAAGUUUGCAUCUUCCGUGUUAAACCUCUCCUUAUGCCAAGUGUCAGAAAAAGCUCCUCUCCUCGAGGCUGCCGCUAUAAUAACGCUGAUGUAGAAACCAUCCGGUUUGGAAGCCUCUCUUAUCUACAAUCCCACUUCAAAGCAUAACAAAAUUUCAGAUAUCCGAAGUCCAGGUACCAAAAUUAGCAGAGCCUCUUUCAGGGGCAACAGUAAAAAGAUGGCUGUGUCUGGGAAAGUAGAAGGUCACCAUUUG